RNAcentral lists this ribosomal RNA (585 nucleotides) under Triticum aestivum (bread wheat). RNAcentral describes it as "partial small subunit ribosomal RNA". Lineage: Eukaryota; Viridiplantae; Streptophyta; Magnoliopsida; Poales; Poaceae. The record is from RNAcentral.
AUGACAAACCAUGUAUCCCCGAGUCUUUUCUUCAUUUGUUACUUUUGCAAGAGGCUCGUGGAGGAUGACUUAUGGGUCAUUUUGGACGCGACAAGACAUUUGCCACGCUCUCCAAGAACUACUUUUGGCUUCUGCGACGUCUCCCGUUACACCAACCGAUGCUCUACAUGUUGCGAAGCUAAGUCGAAAGCUCAAUCCCAUGAUCUCUAUAUGCCACUUCCUAUUAUGUAUCACCCAUGGGAAGAUAUUAGUAUGGACUUUGUGCUUGGUUUUCCUAGAACUCGAAAUGGAAAGGAUUUCGUGUUUGUUGUGGACCGUUUCUCUAAGAUAGCACAUUUUAUCUCAUGUAACAAGGUAGACGAUGCUUCACAUGUUGCCAAUCUCUUUUGUAGGGAAAUCUUGCGUCUACAUGGAGUGCCAAAGACUAUCGUGUCGGACUACGACGUCAAGUUCCUAAUCUACUUUUGGAAGACGCUAUGCGCAAAGCUAGGAAUCAAGCUCUUGUUCUCUUCGGCAUACCAUCCGCAAACCGACGGCGAAACAAGGUCACGAACCAGACGCUAUCUACUCUCCUAUGCGUGUUGA